AAAAUAAUCAUGGUGAUCUUCUUGAAAACAAAAAGAAUUCCUUGAAAGAAAAUUUUGUGAAAGAAAAUUGUUCUCUAGUAUCAAUUCUUACAAAAGUAGGGUGGGGUGUUGUAUCUAUUCAAUUUAGUGGUAUCUAACUUCAAGUUUUUUUACUCACUUACCAGAAAUGCCACCAUCCACCUUUUAACCAGGCCACGUUAUAACCUUUAAAAGUCCUCUAAUGUGUGUGCUCAUGACAUGGUGAUUGAUUUUUGAGAAUGUCUGCAAAUUUAUAGCAGUCUAGUUAUGAUGUGUUGAUUGAGUGAUUAUAUUACCCUUAAACAGGAGAGUCGGUGAGGGUGUGAAGAGAUUAAGUAUGGUCAAUCUUUGUUUGAUGCUCUUUGUUUUGCCUAAAUUUGAAACUGUGUGUAUUUGAAUCAUGACGAAAUUGAUCAUUGAAAUAUUAUGCAAAUUAUGUCUAACUUGAUUAGGUUUGAGUUUGUCUAGCCAAAUGGAUUGAGGUAGUUUUUUGUUUUCUUAGAGAUUGAGAUAUUCCUUGAGGACAAGGAAAAGUUCAAGUUUGGGGUUGUGAUGACGUUAGUCAUUACAUGGAAAUAAAGACCAUUUUCAAGUGUUUUUAGAGGUUUUUGACCUAAAUCAUGAAGAAUAAGACAUUGAUUUGAAGCUACAUGCAAAGGAAGAUAGCAGAUGAAAAUUUGUGGAAUUUGUAGUAUUUUUGCGCCUGGGGCGGAAUUAUUUGCGCCUGGGGCGGAAACAU
Molecule: long non-coding RNA, 757 nt
Filed under: Trifolium pratense (red clover)
Lineage: Eukaryota; Viridiplantae; Streptophyta; Magnoliopsida; Fabales; Fabaceae
Description: long non-coding RNA (TPRA_LNC005354)
Source: RNAcentral